Molecule: ribosomal RNA, 1189 nt
Filed under: Salmonella enterica
Lineage: Bacteria; Pseudomonadati; Pseudomonadota; Gammaproteobacteria; Enterobacterales; Enterobacteriaceae
Description: partial 23S ribosomal RNA
Rfam family: Bacterial large subunit ribosomal RNA
Source: RNAcentral
UGUGUUAGUGGAAGCGUCUGGAAAGGCGCGCGAUACAGGGUGACAGCCCCGUACACAAAAGCGCAUGUGCUGUGAGCUCGAUGAGUAGGGCGGGACACGUGGUAUCCUGUCUGAAUAUGGGGGGACCAUCCUCCAAGGCUAAAUACUCCUGACUGACCGAUAGUGAACCAGUACCGUGAGGGAAAGGCGAAAAGAACCCCGGCGAGGGGAGUGAAACAGAACCUGAAACCGUGUACGUACAAGCAGUGGGAGCACAGGUUUACCUGUGUGACUGCGUACCUUUUGUAUAAUGGGUCAGCGACUUAUAUUCUGUAGCAAGGUUAACCGAAUAGGGGAGCCGGAGGGAAACCGAGUCUUAAUUGGGCGUUAAGUUGCAGGGUAUAGACCCGAAACCCGGUGAUCUAGCCAUGGGCAGGUUGAAGGUUGGGUAACACUAACUGGAGGACCGAACCGACUAAUGUUGAAAAAUUAGCGGAUGACCUGUGGCUGGGGGUGAAAGGCCAAUCAAACCGGGAGAUAGCUGGUUCUCCCCGAAAGCUAUUUAGGUAGCGCCUCGUGAAUUCAUCUCCGGGGGUAGAGCACUGUUUCGGCUAGGGGGUCAUCCCGACUUACCAACCCGAUGCAAACUGCGAAUACCGGAGAAUGUUAUCACGGGAGACACACGGCGGGUGCUAACGUCCGUCGUGAAGAGGGAAACAACCCAGACCGCCAGCUAAGGUCCCAAAGUCAUGGUUAAGUGGGAAACGAUGUGGGAAGGCCCAGACAGCCAGGAUGUUGGCUUAGAAGCAGCCAUCAUUUAAAGAAAGCGUAAUAGCUCACUGGUCGAGUCGGCCUGCGCGGAAGAUGUAACGGGGCUAAACCAUGCACCGAAGCUGCGGCAGCGACACUAAGUGUUGUUGGGUAGGGGAGCGUUCUGUAAGCCUGCGAAGGUGUGUCGUGAGGCAUGCUGGAGGUAUCAGAAGUGCGAAUGCUGACAUAAGUAACGAUAAUGCGGGUGAAAAACCCGCACGCCGGAAGACCAAGGGUUCCUGUCCAACGUUAAUCGGGGCAGGGUGAGUCGACCCCUAAGGCGAGGCCGAAAGGCGUAGUCGAUGGGAAACGGGUUAAUAUUCCCGUACCUGGUGUUACUGCGAAGGGGGGACGGAGAAGGCUAUGUUGGCCGGGCGACGGUUGUCCCGGUUUAAGCGUG